UGGGGAAUCUUGGACAAUGGGGGCAACCCUGAUCCAGCCAUGCCGCGUGAGUGAUGAAGGCCUUAGGGUCGUAAAGCUCUUUCGCCUGUGAAGAUAAUGACGGUAGCAGGUAAAGAAACCCCGGCUAACUCCGUGCCAGCAGCCGCGGUAAUACGGAGGGGGUUAGCGUUGUUCGGAAUUACUGGGCGUAAAGCGCACGUAGGCGGACCAGAAAGUUGGGGGUGAAAUCCCGGGGGCUCAACCCCGGAACUGCCUCCAAAACUAUUGGUCUAGAGUUCGAGAGAGGUGAGUGGAAUUCCAAGUGUAGAGGUGAAAUUCGUAGAUAUUUGGAGGAACACCAGUGGCGAAGGCGGCUCACUGGCUCGAUACUGACGCUGAGGUGCGAAAGUGUGGGGAGCAAACAGGAUUAGAUACCCUGGUAGUCCACACCGUAAAACGAUGAAUGCCAGUCGUCGGGGUAGCAUGCUAUUCGGUGACACACCUAACGGAUUAAGCAUUCC
This 500-nucleotide ribosomal RNA is filed under the name uncultured bacterium. RNAcentral describes it as "bacterial SSU rRNA". It matches the Rfam family "Bacterial small subunit ribosomal RNA", at positions 355 to 870 of the family's 1533-position model. The record is from RNAcentral.